CCCUAUGGGGUGCAGCAGGUCGAUCUUGUUCAGGAUCAUGACCUUGGAUUCGGCGAAGAUGAAGGGGUACUUCUCGGGCUUGUCGUCGCCCUCGGUCACACUCAGGAUGGUCACCUUGUAGUCCUCGCCGACGCUGAACUCGGCGGGGCAGACCAGGUUGCCGACGUUCUCCACCACCAGGACGUCGAUGCCGUCCAGGCCCAUGGAUUGUGCGGCGUCGCGGACCAUGGAGCUGUCCAGGUGGCAGCCGCCGGCGGUGUUGAUCUGCACGGCGCGAGCGCCAGGGGCGGUCACGCGGCGGGCGUCGUUCUCGGUCUGGCAGUCGCCUUCGAUGACGGCCAUGGAAAACUCGCCCUUGAGGUCCGUCAGGGUCCGCUCCAGCAGGGUGGUCUUGCCCGAGCCGGGGGAGC
Molecule: ribosomal RNA, 410 nt
Filed under: uncultured prokaryote
Description: partial 16S ribosomal RNA
Source: RNAcentral